AACAUCGCGCACCUGCGGGAACCUGCGGAGGGAUCAUCAAAGAAUUUCCAUGAUACCCACAAGUGUUUUGGAUUGUUGGGGGGGGUGAAAGAGGGGGGGAGUUCAUUGUAAUGAUGGCUCUCUCUCGCUUUUCCUCUUUCUUUUCAAUCCGGGCACUUUAACCAAACGAUCACAACCAGAGAAUUAUUGAGGGGGGAAACAGCAAAAGUGUUUGCCUGAUACUGAGUUGAUUGAUUUGAC
Molecule: unclassified non-coding RNA, 240 nt
Filed under: soil metagenome
Description: partial contains 5.8S ribosomal RNA, internal transcribed spacer 2, and large subunit ribosomal RNA
Source: RNAcentral